This 253-nucleotide ribosomal RNA is filed under the name uncultured bacterium. RNAcentral's name for it is "partial 16S ribosomal RNA". It matches the Rfam family "Bacterial small subunit ribosomal RNA", at positions 524 to 777 of the family's 1533-position model. The record is from RNAcentral.
UACGAGGGGGCGAGCGUUGUUCGGAAUUAUUGGGCGUAAAGGGUGCGUAGGCGGUUUGGUAAGUCUUAUGUGAAAUCUACAGGCUCAACUUGUAGUCUGCAUGAGAAACUGCCGGGCUUGAGUAUGGGAGAGGUGAGUGGAAUUCCUGGUGUAGCGGUGAAAUGCGUAGAUAUCAGGAGGAACACCUGUGGCGAAAGCGGCUCACUGGACCAUAACUGACGCUGAUGCACGAAAGCUAGGGGAGCAAACAGGG